AGAAAUUGCUUCUAGGGUUCCGAUUUAAGCGUCCUUAAAUGUCAGGUCCGAGAGAAGCAAGCUAGUCUUAAAUGAGCGGAUCAAAAAUUGUUCCGUCUAAGCUGGCUACACGGCGGGAUAAAAGCCCGGGAGAC
RNAcentral lists this small RNA (134 nucleotides) under Microcystis aeruginosa PCC 9807. RNAcentral describes it as "ykkC-yxkD". It matches the Rfam family "Guanidine-I riboswitch aptamer". Rfam says of the family: This family represents a conserved RNA structure found upstream of the ykkC and yxkD genes in Bacillus subtilis and related genes in other bacteria. The function of this family is unclear although it has been suggested that it may function to switch on efflux pumps and detoxification systems in response to harmful environmental molecules. Nelson showed that this riboswitch senses and responds to guanidine and it was renamed Guanidine-I riboswitch. Lineage: Bacteria; Bacillati; Cyanobacteriota; Cyanophyceae; Chroococcales; Microcystaceae. The record is from RNAcentral.